RNA transcript from Cucumis sativus (cucumber), 2224 nucleotides. It is a transcript of the gene named dephospho-CoA kinase, with no coding region annotated. The transcript has 6 exons. Lineage: Eukaryota; Viridiplantae; Streptophyta; Magnoliopsida; Cucurbitales; Cucurbitaceae. The record is from RefSeq and is a predicted model, not a curated record.
GUCCAUUGUUUGUGGUGCCUUAAUCCAAGUGCCCACUCCAAAAUCAGUCCUCACACUCACCAACCCACCAAAACACAGCUGUUUUUCUUUGUCCUCAAUCCACAAUAUUAAUUCCAAAAAAUUUUACAUCUUUCUUGUGAAUUGCAACCUAAUAAACAACAAGCUUAAUCUCAAUCUCUCAGUAACUGUGAUAUAUAUUUCCAAGUUUUCUUUUCACUCAUCCCCAACACUUGUUAGCAAUAUGAAGAAGCUUUUCCUUUUCACAUUCUUGCUUUGCUUUCUUCUCUUCACAUCUUCCUUCAUAGACAUUGUCAACGCGAAGCCCGUGUUUUGUGACAAGAAAUGCAAGAAGAGAUGCUCAAAGGCAGGAGUGAAGGAUAGAUGCAUAAAGUAUUGUGGGAUUUGCUGUGGGUAUUGUAAGUGUGUUCCUUCUGGAACUUAUGGGAACAAACACGAGUGCCCUUGUUAUAGGGACAUGAGAAGUUCUAAGGGUAGACCCAAGUGCCCUUGAGAUCAUCUCAAAUGGCUCUUCAACAAAUCUAUGCAAUGUAAUCCUUUUCUAAAAAUUUGAUACACUAAAUGUUGAGAUGUACUUGAGUUAAGUGUUGUUGUAAUUUGGCAUGAGUUCAUGGAAUAAUGUUCUUCUAAACUUCAUGUGGAUUGAAUAUAUGAGUCAAGAGAUGUGUUUAUCAAUCAAUAAAUAAAUAAAUCUCUCUUAUUUGAAGGUAGGAGGUGAUUUGGGAUGACCUAAGUGAUUUUUGUUAUUUGACAGAUUAAUCAUUAAUUUGUAUAAGUCAUUUAGUCAUUCCAUUAAAAAAAAAUUAACAAAAUGAAAUUCAUUAUUGCAAAUAUCACAAAAUUACUAAUAUAUUUAAAAUUUUGUAUGAUUAAUUGUAAAGAGUGAUUGAAAAGAGAAAAAAGAAAAAAAGAAAAGGAAACUCAUUUCGUCUUCUUUCUCACCCACGCACGCGACCCAAACCCCCUACCACCACCGCCGGUUUCUUUCACCGUCGCUGCCGGAGCUUCGCCGCUCUUUCGCCGGUCAGUGAAGCCCAGCUGUCGUGCACUUCCAUCAGAUCGCCUGCCCAGCCUUCGUUUGCUGGAUGGUCGUCGUCGACUCCCUGGGUUCCUCGCUUUUCGCUAUCCUUCGUCGGAACCUGGUUGAAUUAUAGCUUUUGGAAGGAAGUAAGCGGCUGUCCAGCGGGUUUAGUGUUGUUGAGCGACUAUUGGGUUGGAUCUUGAUUAAUUGCUUGGAUUAAAAUUUGUGAUCAAAUUUGAGAUAAAGGAAGAAUGAGAAUUGUAGGUCUGACAGGUGGGAUUUCAUCGGGGAAGAGCACUGUGUCCAACCUCUUCAAGGCCCAUGACAUUCCUAUAGUUGAUGCUGACCUCAUAGCUCGUGUAUGUUCGUCUCCUUCUUUCAUGUGUAAUAUACAACAAAAUGGAAAGGAUUUCUGGAUUUCACCAUUCUUUAUACCCUCAUUGCUAAUGAUGUGGUUGAGAAAGGAACUGGUGGCUGGAAAAAGGUUGUUUCAGCUUUCGGGGAGGACAUUUUACUAUCUAAUGGUGAAAUUGAUAGGCGAAAACUGGGCCAAAUUGUUUUUGCUGAUCCUGCAAAGCGGAAACUUUUAAAUCAGUAAGAAAAGCUAGCUUUAGAUUUCUAGGCCUUAAGCUGUAUAUGGCUGUGCCAUUAUUAUUUUUUUGUUUGUUUCUCUACUUCUUCUUAGAGACGUGUUGAACUUUACGGUUUUGUUAUUCUUUCCCUUCCUGUCUUGUUAUCCUUUCCUUUUAUGUCUUACUUGCAUUAUCCUUGUGGUGUUGAUUUCCAUUCAAUACAUUAUAGCUCAGUGCUGUCUCUGUUUCUCUAUUAUUGUUAGGAUGUGCUGAUUUUCAGGAGAAGAAUCCUAACAGUAUACUCAUAGUUUGAUGCAAACAUAAAAAAGUCUUGGACAUUGGUGCAGAGGACUGAUCACUCCAUGCAUUUCUUUUUGGAUUAAGAUUACUUGUAUUUCUCUUUAAUUUUGAUUGACAAGACACACGCACACACUUAUGUGUGCACACCUAGAAAUGACCUAGAAGCCAUGAGACAGUGAAUCUAAAUUGAUGAGAAACAUAGGAAUAUGCCAAAUUUUUUUUGAAGAUCAGCACUUAAAUUCAUGUAUGCAUUUGUCUCCUUGGUACAUUAUGUGCAGUUCAAAUACUAUAUACCUGAUCAUCUUUUUAUGCA